UCGGAAUACAUCAAAAAUCAUUCAAAAAAUAAAAAAUGGAGGCUAGGCUUGAACAAUCGAUAAGCUCCAUAUGUAUAGCCGAUUAGCUCAACGUAGAGCCAAUUAGCUCUGCACUGAGCUGAUUGACUCUAAGGUUCCAAGCUAGUUUUUGUCGAUUCGUCAGUACAUUUUUUCCUCCUUAGAGCCGAAUUUCACAUGCACAUAUAGUAAAAUUAAUUAGAAUAUGAAAUAAAAUGAAAGAAAUAACCAAGUAAAAAUAAUAGGAAUUAAUUGGAUGAUCGAGAAACCCUAAAACUAAUAAAAAAAACUCCAAAAUUGAAAGUACAAUAAUGAAAUAAAUGGAAAAUCAAUCAUGUGAUCAUAUUAAACAUAUUUAAUUACCUAAUCAUAAUGGAAAAAUAGAUAUAAACAUUCAUCCUAUGACAUGUUUCUAAUUAGAUCCAAAAUCCUAAUUGGCAAAAUAUCAUAUUUCAAAAUGCUAGAGUUCUUAUUAUCAUAUUCAAAACCCAAUAAUCAUGCAUAUCCAUAAAAACCAUAACCUAAUCAUAUUGAUCAUAAAUCAUAAAUCAUAAUCCUAAUCAUGUUUCAAAAAGAAAAUAACAAAAGAAAUAAAAAGGAAAGAACCAAUUUCUAGUAUGAUGACGGAUACAUGAUUGAAGGAACCCUCAGGUUAUCACUGUAGUUGAUAGAUCUAUGAGUCUCGGGUGAUGAGGAUGCAGUUGAGUCAAAGACUGGAUAAGAAUCUAGUGUUAAAUCUAGUGUAGAGAAAUCUCCGAGCGAUUUACAAAUCGAUUUCCAAAAACGAUUAUUUCUUCAGUGGCUUGUUUCCAAAAAUUAUUCUUUCUUAAUGGCUUGAGUCUUCUGUUGUCAAAUAAGAACGAUAGUCUUUUUCUUUCUUUUCUCUCUAGUUUUUCUCUAUGUAUUUUCUCUCUAUGCUUUUCAAAGUAUCGAUAUCAUUUAUUGCCAAAUCUUAGUUCUUCAUUUAUUUCCCCUAAUCCUAAUUCCCCUUUUUAUUUAUAGAGGUAGGGUUUCAUACAAAUUUAUUUUUAAAAUUUAAUUAGUUAUCAAUAAAAAUGAUGAUUAUCGUCAAGAAAAUCUUCUAGAAUCUGUAUCUGGACGUACAAUCAUCAAGAAGAAUGAUGUCAGAGUGCAAAAACUCAAUUAGCUCUAUGUAGAGGAAGUUUUAAAAUUAUAAUUAGGUCCAUAAACUUAUGAAAAAUGUCGUUUUGACCCUCAAAAUUUAUUUUUUUAAUAAUUUAAUCCAAAUUGAUUUUAAAAAGGUAAUUCCAAUUGGAUUAAUGUCAACCCUAGCAUCGGAUUCACCUAUCCUUCAUAUUUCGAGACCCAAUAAGGCAAUAACUUUCAUCAUAGGGUUUUAUGUCUUUCCGUUGAUAUCUAGAUCUAGAAAAGGGGUGCUGACAGUUGUUUCGGUUUGUCAAAAUUUAUAAACAUGUAAAUGCAUUAAAUAAAUUGAGACAAAUCAUAAACAUUUAGGAUAUAUUAAAAGAAUAUGUGAGUUGUGUAGCCACGCCUUGUAAGCUCAAACUUUGAUCGCUGAUUUGAUGUGGGGGCCACCCUCGCUUAGGUUAAGGACUUCGCCUGCUUAGAUUGAGGACUUCGCCUACUUGGGUUGAGGACUUCACCUGUUUAGAUUGAGGACUUCGCAUGCUUUUCAAGGAACUAUGCCCAUUGAUUUAGGAUCCACGCCUAUUAGAUUGUGAGCUAUGCCUGUUGAAUUGGUUAUUUUAGAGACUUCUCUCUAGCUAUCUUCUAUUCUAGGAACCAAUUUGCCACUUCAGGUCAAUUUGAUAAUUUUUCAGUUUCGGGUACUUAGUUUGAGAUUUUCUGCCUCGGGGCACAAUCUGAUUUGUUUUGAUGCUUUCUGAAUGUUGUACUGGUGUUUGGCCCAUCCAAGGACUAAAAUAUAAUUUUGCUGGGCCAGAGACCAAACUUGUAAUUUUCUCAGAAAAUCCCCUUUAAGGUGGCCUUCUAUAUAUCUCUUAUGAGGACUUAUACUGACUUCUUGGACUAAAACUUGAUUUUGACAGGUCAGGGCCCUAAAUGACAUUUUUGCUCCUUCCCUAAGACAUAUAUAUAGGCUUAUAUCUACAUCUCCUUCAUUUUACCCAUUUUUCUUAGUUUUCUCUCUAAAGCUUUCUUUGCUCUUUCUUUGAUUUCUCACUCAAUCCUUAACUGCUUUUCACAAAAUCAGUCUUAAAAUGGCAAGCUCAUCUUCUAGAUUCACUGGAUGCACCACGAUUGCAUAGAUUGGAAGCUUGCUGCCCUAAUUUCUUGCCAAAAUGAUCUUGGGCUUGUGAUGGGGAGGAGAUUUGUUAAGACCUCUUUCCGGAUCUAUAUAUCGAGGAAAAAACGGAAAACCCUAUGAUGAGAGUUGCUUUUUUCUCAAGUCUCGGAAGGUAAGGACAGAAGACUCCGAGGCUGGGGUGAACAUUAGUCCAGCUGGAAUUAUCUUUUUGAAAUCAAUUUGGACCUAAUUAUCAGAAAAAAUUAAGUUUGAGGGUCAAAAUGAUAAUCUUUAUACAAUCAGGGACUAAAAUGCAAAUUUUAAAACUUCCUCUGUAGAGUCGACAGCUAAUAAGUUCUUUAUAGAAGCGAUUGAAUUUUGACUCCCGACAUUAUUCUUUCGGGCGAUUUUACGUCCAAAUACAAAUUCUAGAAGGUCUCUUUGACGAUAAUCAUUGUUUUCUCGACAAUUAUAUAAAUAAAUAGGAUAUUUAUCGAUAUUUCCUAAAAUUUAUCCCUUUCUCUAAGGUUUUCUUUGAAAUUCUACCUCUAUGAAUAGUAAGAGAUGUUUAAGGUUUCAAAGGAGGAAGGAAGAAUUGAUAUUCGACCAUAAGUGAAAUCAAGAGAAAAGAAACACUGAGAAAGAAAGAAAAAAGAAAAUAUGCCCAAUUGUUUACAUUUUUAUGCAUAGUUAUAUUGCUUUAUACCAGAAUCACCUGUGUUUUAGUUCCUUUCAUGUUGUAGGUCAUUAUCGAGGGACAUUAUCAGUAAUCGAGGGAAAUACGAGCAAUUACGGACCAGAAUCCAUCAAAUUGAGCAAGGACUAGCAUUCUAAGGUUGAGCACGGCCUGGAUUCCGGCUGUGCUGAACCAUCAAAUAGUUGCCCUUCAAGAGUGCCAUUUUGGCACGAUUUCCGAAGCCACCGCGGCCUCCACCACGGCUCGUGGUGACUCAGCACCGGCUAGGGCAUGGCCAGUAGGAAGUCGCGAGUUGCAGAACGCGGAGGUCCAGCAUGGCUUGGACUCCGCCCGUGCUGAUCAGCACAGGCUUAACCACGGUCGUGCUGAGACAUUUAUAUAGGUAAAAACAAUUUGCUGAAUAAGGGUUCAAUUUUCUGACUUGAUUUCACAUACAAGCUUAAGCCAUCUUCUUCCAGACUUUAAUACUCGAUCUUAGAAGACCAUUUCAUCUAUUGGAGGAAGAAUUACAAUUGUUUUAACAUCAAAUUGAAGAUCAAGACAAGAUUUGGAAGCAUUCAAGAGGCAAAUUAGGAUUUAUCAUUCUGAAUUAGGAAUUUAGGAUUUUUCAUCCAACUUGAAAAAGAAGGGUGUACAUGCCUUCAAUUUACUUUUCUGAAUCUAUUCUUUACUUUGUGUUUCUUAUUAGUAUGAGUAACUAAAUUUAUCAAAUCUAUUGGGGUUCCUAUAUUGUUGGAUUGAUUUUAAUGCUUAUGAGAUUUUGAUUAUUAAUGCUUGUCUCUUCUUGCUUUCAUUAUUAAUGAGAAAUCACUUUAUUCAUGAGACGUUGUGAGUUGUGGUAUUCAAAUUGCUUUAUGUAAUUGAGAAAUUCAUUUAGUAAUUGAAAAUUUGAAUAGCAAGAACUGGUUAAUGAUCACUUAGAGAUAAAGGUAAUUGACUAGCCAGAUUAAGAAUUAACAAAGCUUAAUAGAGGCGGGUUAAAGCUUAAUGCUAAUCGAAUAAUCGAUCAUUUGGAAGAGAUUCCAACUUUAGGUUAUUAGGUUUGGGAACUCGGUUAUUUCGAGAGGGAGACCAAAUUCAUUUAAGAAUUCGUCCAUGGGUAAUUGAAAUUGGUAAUCAAUAUAAUCUCUAUCUUCACUAAAAUCCAACUAGCUUAGGUCCCCUAGGGUUUGCUUUUUUCCUUCGAUUGUUUUCCUAAAUCCUUUCAGAUUAUUUGACACUUAGUUAAUCGUUUGUUCAUAUUUAAUCAUAAUAUAAUAACUUCAUCGAUUUUGUUAAGGUUAGAUAACAUAAAACGCUGCAGUAGUUCUAGGAUCACCUUUUCCCGAGAAUACGACCUUGAUACUCACCAUUUGUGCUAGUCUGCAUCGAUAGGUUCACUGCCUUAGAUUUUGGCUACACAAAUAGCAUAUCACCACUUAAGAAAUAGUGAUUUUAGGAAAUAAGUCACUUGAGAAAGAACAUAUUUGGAAACCCCUCUCUUCAAUCGACAAAGGAUUUCACAAAGCGAGAUCCAGCACUAGAUUCCUACCCAGUUUUUAAUUCAACUGCCUUCUUAUCGCUCGAGACUCAUAAAUCUAACAUCCACGGUGACAACUUGAGGGCUUCUUCCACCAUACAUCUCCAUUAGUGAUAAAAAUCAAUUUUUUCAUUUCUUUUAUUUUUUAUAUUAUUUUUUCUUAGAAGCAUGAUUAUUGUUUUGAUUUUUGAUAAAUAUGGUUAUAUUAGGUCUUUAUUAAUAUGCAUAACAAUAGGAUUUUGAAUAUGAUAUUAAGAACUAGGUUUUCUUAGAUCUGAUGUUUUGCCAAUUAGGCUUUAAAUUUGAUUAAGAUACAUGUUAUAGGGUUAAUAUUUAGAUCUAUUUCUUAAUAUGACUAUGUAAUUAAGCUUAAAUAAAAUAUUAUUCUUUUUUUUUUGACAACCUUCUGAUAGUUUUUGAGAUUUAGGGUUUUCUUUUUUGCUUCUAUAACACUUAUUUUGUUAUUUAUAUCUGUUUUAUCUCAUUCUAAUUAAUUUUAACACCUGUGCAUGUGAAAAUUGGCUCUAGAAUGUGAGUUGUACUGGCGAACAAAGAAAAACAACAGAGACUUACCUUAAGACUCUAGAGCCUAUCGGCUCAAUGUAGAGCCAAUUAGCUCUAUAUUGAGUCGAUCGGCUCUUCAUACAUAGCCGAUUAGUUGACCAAGCUGGACACUAUUCUUUCAUAUUUUUGGCGUAUUUCAAUGUAUUCUCAACCUCUCUAUAAUAUUAGUUUUCUCCGGUUUUGCAAUCGUAGUUAUAAGCAGGUUGUAAUAGCUAGGGUUUUAUGUUUUGCUUUAUUUUCUUUAUUUUUUAGUUUAUUCUAUGUUAACCUAAUACAUGAUUAAGUGACUAAUAAAUAAAAAUGGGACACAUAGACUUAGGCUAAAAUACUGAUCCAACAUGAAUUUGAUAGUCUAAUAAGCUAAUCCACUUUAACUAGGCCUAAACCCUAAAAUCCAAUCAGACUAGUAGGCUUUGGUAUGUUUAGUUAGGGUUUGGACUUAGUUAGGGUUGAGAUCACAAUGAAUGAGCCUUCUCAUAAUAAGUAGUCCAUUAGGCUUAAAGGCGGGAAUCCAAAAAGUAUAACAUGUAAUUAGACUAGAAUAGGUGGGCCUUUUACAUAAUUGGUUAGUAACUUAGAUUAGUAACUAUCCUGCCUCAACUCCUCUUGUGGUGGUACAUCUACAAUAUUCUGCCCAACCUCCUUUUGCAUCAAAUCUUCAUUAUAUCUAGCAUAUAAAUGGAUUAUCUUGGAUUCAUGAACAAACAUGGACAUCUUAAUCACAUCAUUAUCAAUUUCUAGGUUUUUCAAGCCAUCAUUCAUGCUUUUCUUUGAAUGCUUCCACAGAAUGACAAUAUAUUCAGGUACCAAUCCUGAUUCCCUUGGCAUAGCAUCUAUUUCCAAUUUUGAGAUCUUAUCAGAUGAACAAAAAUCAAUCUCACUCACAUCACAAAUAUUAGGUUUGCCUUUAGCAUCUACCCCAAAUACAUGCCAUAUAAUAGUAAAAUACUCUACAUUAAGCACUGAAAUAUAAUAGAACAAACACAUAAUUAACAACCAAUAGACAGAGCUUUAAAACUUCUUCAAAUCACUAAUCUUUUCUGUAGUUACAAACAAAAUUGCUACCUAGAACCAUUGUUACCAUCUUUAUUAACAUAUAUUCAAUUACAUAUUACAACGAAUUAAAUCAGUUAUAACCAUUUAAAGUUCAAAUUUUUAUUUUGAAAACUUACAGUAUUGAGGUUUCUCUUCUCCUUCCUCCCUCUGAAACCAAUCAAACGUCAUUGUCUACUUCAGACUUGAAGAACUAGAAAGUGAUGAAAAAUGAUAGAAAAUGGUUAAAAAGAAGCGCUGCUUAUCAAUGACUAUGGUAGAAAAAGC
Molecule: long non-coding RNA, 6345 nt
Filed under: Ricinus communis (castor bean)
Lineage: Eukaryota; Viridiplantae; Streptophyta; Magnoliopsida; Malpighiales; Euphorbiaceae
Description: long non-coding RNA (RCOM_LNC000712)
Source: RNAcentral